RNAcentral lists this unclassified non-coding RNA (378 nucleotides) under plant metagenome. RNAcentral's name for it is "partial contains 5.8S ribosomal RNA, internal transcribed spacer 2, and large subunit ribosomal RNA". The stretch from base 1 to 105 matches the Rfam family "5.8S ribosomal RNA", at positions 50 to 154 of the family's 154-position model. The record is from RNAcentral.
GAAAUGCGAUAAGUAAUGUGAAUUGCAGAAUUCAGUGAAUAAUCGAAUCUUUGAACGCACCUUGCGCUCCUUGGUAUUCCUGGGAGCAUGCCUGUUUGAGUAUCAUGAAAUCUUCAAAGUAAAUCUUUUGUUAACUCAAUUGGUUUCUACUUUGGUAUUGGAGGUCUUUGCAGCUUCACACCUGCUCCUCUUUGUUCAUUAGCUGGAUCUCAGUGUUAUGCUUGGUUCCACUCGGCGUGAUAAGUUAUCUAUCGCUGAGGACACUGUAAAAGGUGGCCAAGGUAAAUGCAGAUGAACCGCUUCUAAUAGUCCAUUGACUUGGACAAUACUUUUAUGAUCUGAUCUCAAAUCAGGUAGGACUACCCGCUGAACUUAAGC